GAUGAACGCUGGCGGCGUGCCUAAUACAUGCAAGUCGAGCGAGCGGACGAGAAGCUUGCUUCUCUGAUGUUAGCGGCGGACGGGUGAGUAACACGUGGAUAACCUACCUAUAAGACUGGGAUAACUUCGGGAAACCGGAGCUAAUACCGGAUAAUAUUUUGAACCGCAUGGUUCAAAAGUGAAAGACGGUCUUGCUGUCACUUAUAGAUGGAUCUGCGCUGCAUUAGCUAGUUGGUAAGGUAACGGCUUACCAAGGCAACGAUGCAUAGCCGACCUGAGAGGGUGAUCGGCCACACUGGAACUGAGACACGGUCCAGACUCCUACGGGAGGCAGCAGUAGGGAAUCUUCCGCAAUGGGCGAAAGCCUGACGGAGCAACGCCGCGUGAGUGAUGAAGGUCUUCGGAUCGUAAAACUCUGUUAUUAGGGAAGAACAUAUGUGUAAGUAACUGUGCACAUCUUGACGGUACCUAAUCAGAAAGCCACGGCUAACUACGUG
Molecule: ribosomal RNA, 497 nt
Filed under: uncultured bacterium
Lineage: Bacteria
Description: partial 16S ribosomal RNA
Rfam family: Bacterial small subunit ribosomal RNA
Source: RNAcentral